This 497-nucleotide ribosomal RNA is filed under the name uncultured bacterium. RNAcentral's name for it is "partial 16S ribosomal RNA". It matches the Rfam family "Bacterial small subunit ribosomal RNA", at positions 28 to 507 of the family's 1533-position model. The record is from RNAcentral.
GAUGAACGCUGGCGGCGUGCCUAAUACAUGCAAGUCGAGCGAGCAGACGAGGAGCUUGCUCCUCUGACGUUAGCGGCGGACGGGUGAGUAACACGUGGAUAACCUACCUAUAAGACUGGGAUAACUUCGGGAAACCGGAGCUAAUACCGGAUAAUAUAUUGAACCGCAUGGUUCAAUAGUGAAAGACGGUUUUGCUGUCACUUAUAGAUGGAUCCGCGCCGCAUUAGCUAGUUGGUAAGGUAACGGCUUACCAAGGCAACGAUGCGUAGCCGACCUGAGAGGGUGAUCGGCCACACUGGAACUGAGACACGGUCCAGACUCCUACGGGAGGCAGCAGCAGGGAAUCUUCCGCAAUGGGCGAAAGCCUGACGGAGCAACGCCGCGUGAGUGAUGGAGGUCUUCGGAUCGUAAAACUCUGUUAUUAGGGAAGAACAAAUGUGUAAGUAACUAUGCACGUCUUGACGGUACCUAAUCAGAAAGCCACGGCUAACUACGUG